GAUGAACGCUGGCGGCGUGCCUAAUACAUGCAAGUCGAGCGAACGGACGAGAAGCUUGCUUCUCUGAUGUUAGCGGCGGACGGGUGAGUAACACGUGGAUAACCUACCUAUAAGACUGGGAUAACUUCGGGAAACCGGAGCUAAUACCGGAUGAUAUUUUGAACCGCAUGGUUCAAAAGUGAAAGACGGUCUUGCUGUCACUUAUAGAUGGAUCCGCGCUGCAUUAGCUAGUUGGUAAGGUAACGGCUUACCAAGGCAACGAUGCAUAGCCGACCUGAGAGGGUGAUCGGCCACACUGGAACUGAGACACGGUCCAGACUCCUACGGGAGGCAGCAGUAGGGAAUCGUCCGCAAUGGGCGGAAGCCUGACGGAGCAACGCCGCGUGAGUGAUGAAGGUCUUCGGAUCGUAAAACUCUGUUAUUAGGGAAGAACAUAUGUGGAAGUAACUGUGCACAUCUUGACGGUACCUAAUCAGAAAGCCACGGCUAACUACGUG
This 497-nucleotide ribosomal RNA is filed under the name uncultured bacterium. Its description in RNAcentral is "partial 16S ribosomal RNA". It matches the Rfam family "Bacterial small subunit ribosomal RNA", at positions 28 to 507 of the family's 1533-position model. The record is from RNAcentral.